UUUGUGAAAACCAAAUUUUUUUAUCUGGUAGGUAAAGAUAAAGAUUUUCAGUUUAAUUAUCUUCAAAAUUCUGUGUGUGGGGAAGUGCCUGGCGGUGGUGGUUGGGCACUUGAGCUUGGAGCUGGCCAGGGCAGUGGAUGGGGAAGAGGAGAUUGCUGCUACUGUUGUCGUUUUGUGUAUGCUACAGCUGCAAAAUUCUGUGUAAGUCAAUCCUAGGCGAGUUCUGUAUUGUUAGCCUUUGUGGUGACUGCUACACGAUCCUGUAAUGCAUUCUGGGAGUGUUGUUUCUUUCAGUUGUUUCAAUUACUAGAUUAGCAGCAAAAUGCAUCCAUGUCAAUGUUGGAUUUUACUUCCUGAUUCUCAUUCCAAGUUCUGCAGGAAAGAAACAAGGAGAAUAUAGCUCUUAAUUGAAGCAAAUAGGAUUUCGUCAAGGUUGUGCCUCAAUAUCAUGGAUGCGCCUAUGCAUGUCAAUUUUUCUAACGAGAUGAUUUCUGCUCUUGGGCUAGCGGAUAGGGUUGUGCUUGUUGUCGAUGCUGCUGAGGUCGGCAUGAAUUGGGAUAUGACCGCUUACACAUCCGGGACACAAGGGGCCGCCAUAGCUUGGUUUGUCUCUUUGGACUGCCACAGUGCCCAUCCGGGCGUCUUUGGAUCCUCGGCCAUGGGCCUUGCUGUCUAUGGAUCAUACGCCACUGGUCAUGUUUCGCCACCUGUCUCUCAGGACAACCACCCCUAUGUUCGGUUCGGGAGGCACCGGAGGGAGCCGACAUGGUCAUCAUCAUUCCGUGAAUGAAUAAACUCUUCAAGAUCACUUGUGCGGCUCGGUUAAAGGUAAACAUGUCCAUAGUAUCUUCGUAAGCAUAUAAGUAAUAAUUUGUAUUAGGCAUGAUUCUCGUUCAACUGUCUAGAGAUUGUAUAGUUGUUUUGACGCAUUAGAUCAGUCCGUACAUACAAAUUGGUUUCAUUGAGAUGUGUUCCUUUUCUAUCAUGUCAAUGACGAAUAUACACUAUAUUUCUUUCCUCAUAAUAAAUUGUCAAUUCUUUGAGAUGGGUGAGGAAAAUCGUCAAGAUUAAAGAAUUGCAGGUUGAAAAGGUAUAUUGUUUAAUCCCAUCUUAUUUUCACAAUACUCGGUUUGAUGUUUUUUGGAAGAUUAGAUUGAAAAACAACCAAUUUUUCUAUCGUACUUGAGUUGGGAGUCAUUGUAGAUAACGUUGUGCAGGUUAAAUUUAUGCUCACUGCCCACACUACCGUAAUUCAUGCAUGUUGGUGCUUUCCAGGUGACGUGCCCAACAUGCUUUUGCUCGAGAAUGGCAAUGGGAAGUGAGUAUCGCCCAUGUAUAGAUCCCUUUAAUAGAUGUUGUUGAAUUUGUCGUGUGUCUGCUACUUAUGACAUUUUCCUUCUUGUAGUGUUGUGCUAGGGCCUGAAUCAGUUUUUGAUGUAUACUCUGAAGAGUUACACUGCUAUGAAGUUGGACAACAUUGAAUACAACCAGUGUUGAAGUAUACCAACCGCAUCAGCUUCCGAGUCCAUCGACAAUCCGAGCUUUGUAUCUUUGAGGUUUCAGAUA
This is a long non-coding RNA of Triticum dicoccoides, 1566 nucleotides long. RefSeq lists it as uncharacterized. The record is from RefSeq and is a predicted model, not a curated record. The transcript is spliced from 3 exons. NCBI's taxonomy places the organism in Eukaryota, Viridiplantae, Streptophyta, Magnoliopsida, Poales, Poaceae.